Regulatory RNA element from Roseovarius pacificus, 77 nucleotides. It matches the Rfam family "L2-Alphaproteobacteria ribosomal protein leader". NCBI's taxonomy places the organism in Bacteria, Pseudomonadati, Pseudomonadota, Alphaproteobacteria, Rhodobacterales, Roseobacteraceae. The record is from Rfam.
GGCCACCUUCGGGGGGCUUAAACAUAGGCGGACACCCUGGCAUUCAGGCCCCGCCGUUAGCAAACGGAAGACAGAAA